This 506-nucleotide ribosomal RNA is filed under the name uncultured Thauera sp. RNAcentral describes it as "bacterial SSU rRNA". It matches the Rfam family "Bacterial small subunit ribosomal RNA", at positions 97 to 599 of the family's 1533-position model. Lineage: Bacteria; Pseudomonadati; Pseudomonadota; Betaproteobacteria; Rhodocyclales; Zoogloeaceae. The record is from RNAcentral.
GGCGAACGGGUGAGUAAUGCAUCGGAACGUGCCUAUCAGUGGGGGAUAACGCUUCGAAAGGAGUGCUAAUACCGCAUAUUCUCUGAGGAGGAAAGCAGGGGACCUUAGGGCCUUGCGCUGAUAGAGCGGCCGAUGUCGGAUUAGCUAGUUGGUGAGGUAAAGGCUCACCAAGGCGACGAUCCGUAGCGGGUCUGAGAGGAUGAUCCGCCACACUGGGACUGAGACACGGCCCAGACUCCUACGGGAGGCAGCAGUGGGGAAUUUUGGACAAUGGGCGAAAGCCUGAUCCAGCCAUGCCGCGUGAGUGAAGAAGGCCUUCGGGUUGUAAAGCUCUUUUGUCCGGGAGGAAAUCCUGGCCUCUAAUACAGGUCGGGGAUGACAGUACUGGAAGAAUAAGCACCGGCUAACUACGUGCCAGCAGCCGCGGUAAUACGUAGGGUGCAAGCGUUAAUCGGAAUUACUGGGCGUAAAGCGUGCGCAGGCGGUUUUGUAAGCCAGAUGUGAAA